AUUGAACGCUGGCGGCAUGCUUUACACAUGCAAGUCGAACGGUAACAGGCCGCAAGGUGCUGACGAGUGGCGAACGGGUGAGUAAUGCAUCGGAACGUGCCCAGUCGUGGGGGAUAACUACUCGAAAGAGUAGCUAAUACCGCAUACGAUCUAUGGAUGAAAGCGGGGGACCGUAAGGCCACGCGCGAUUGGAGCGGCCGAUGUCAGAUUAGGUAGUUGGUGGGGUAAAGGCUCACCAAGCCAACGAUCUGUAGCUGGUCUGAGAGGACGACCAGCCACACUGGGACUGAGACACGGCCCAGACUCCUACGGGAGGCAGCAGUGGGGAAUUUUGGACAAUGGGCGCAAGCCUGAUCCAGCAAUGCCGCGUGCAGGAAGAAGGCCUUCGGGUUGUAAACUGCUUUUGUACGGAACGAAACGGCUCUGGUUAAUACCCGGGGCUAAUGACGGUACCGUAAGAAUAAGCACCGGCUAACUACGUG
This 482-nucleotide ribosomal RNA is filed under the name uncultured bacterium. RNAcentral describes it as "partial 16S ribosomal RNA". It matches the Rfam family "Bacterial small subunit ribosomal RNA", at positions 30 to 507 of the family's 1533-position model. The record is from RNAcentral.